AUUGAACGCUGGCGGCAGGCCUAACACAUGCGAGUCGAGCGGAUGAAGGGAGCUUGCUCCUGGAUUCAGCGGCGGACGGGUGAGUAAUGCCCAGGAAUCUGCCUGGUAGUGGGGGAUAACGUCCGGAAACGGGCGCUAAUACCGCAUACGUCCUGAGGGAGAAAGUGGGGGAUCUUCGGACCUCACGCUAUCAGAUGAGCCUAGGUCGGAUUAGCUAGUUGGUGGGGUAAAGGCCUACCAAGGCGACGAUCCGUAACUGGUCUGAGAGGCUGAUCAGUCACACUGGAACUGAGACACGGUCCAGACUCCUACGGGAGGCAGCAGUGGGGAAUAUUGGACAAUGGGCGAAAGCCUGAUCCAGCCAUGCCGCGUGUGUGAAGAAGGUCUUCGGAUUGUAAAGCACUUUAAGUUGGGAGGAAGGGCAGUAAGUUAAUACCUUGCUGUUUUGACGUUACCAACAGAAUAAGCACCGGCUAACUUCGUG
RNAcentral lists this ribosomal RNA (484 nucleotides) under uncultured bacterium. Its description in RNAcentral is "partial 16S ribosomal RNA". It matches the Rfam family "Bacterial small subunit ribosomal RNA", at positions 30 to 507 of the family's 1533-position model. The record is from RNAcentral.